AGGGUCUCAGUAAAGCAAAAGUAGUCUUAGCCCAACGAUCAAUCGAUGUUUGGUUGAUACAUGGUGCGUAUUGUUAGUGAGCUGAAAAGAAAGAGUGAGUGAGAUUUUGGAGGGAAACAAAAUGCUUAUACUAAACGAUCUGAACAGCUCACAGCUGUCAUGAUGCAAGCCAUGAAGCCAAUAGUUUAAGACGGAUGUUGAUAAGUGUCAUGGCGCAAGCCGAUGGUGUAAGA
RNAcentral lists this long non-coding RNA (233 nucleotides) under Oryza brachyantha (malo sina). RNAcentral's name for it is "long non-coding RNA (OBRA_LNC003452)". Lineage: Eukaryota; Viridiplantae; Streptophyta; Magnoliopsida; Poales; Poaceae. The record is from RNAcentral.